CAACGAUUACCCGGCAUGCUUGCAUGCUAUCUGGUCAGGCCCGGAAGGGAGCAGCCACAGCGGGAACAUUGUGUGCCGGGGUGUGGCUGGUGGGG
RNAcentral lists this signal recognition particle RNA (95 nucleotides) under Pseudomonas rhodesiae. Its description in RNAcentral is "signal recognition particle sRNA small type". It matches the Rfam family "Bacterial small signal recognition particle RNA". Rfam says of the family: The signal recognition particle (SRP) is a universally conserved ribonucleoprotein involved in the co-translational targeting of proteins to membranes. The record is from RNAcentral. Lineage: Bacteria; Pseudomonadati; Pseudomonadota; Gammaproteobacteria; Pseudomonadales; Pseudomonadaceae.